CAGUCGCCGCGGGAAUACGUAGGUGGCAAGCGUUGUCCGGAAUUAUUGGGCGUAAAGGGCUCGCAGGCGGUUUCUUAAGUCUGAUGUGAAAGCCCCCGGCUCAACCGGGGAGGGUCAUUGGAAACUGGGAAACUUGAGUGCAGAAGGGGAGAGUGGAAUUCCACGUGUAGCGGUGAAAUGCGUAGAGAUGUGGAGGAACACCAGUGGCGAAGGCGACUCUCUGGUCUGUAACUGACGCUGAGGAGCGAAAGCGUGGGGAGCGAACAGGAUUAGAUACCCCGGUAGUCCCUGUCUCUUAUAC
Molecule: ribosomal RNA, 301 nt
Filed under: uncultured bacterium
Lineage: Bacteria
Description: partial 16S ribosomal RNA
Rfam family: Bacterial small subunit ribosomal RNA
Source: RNAcentral